UACGGAGGAUGCAAGCGUUAUCCGGAUUUAUUGGGUUUAAAGGGUGCGUAGGCGGCUUAGUAAGUCAGCGGUGAAAUUUUGCAGCUUAACUGUAAAAGUGCCGUUGAUACUGUGAGGCUAGGAUUUGGUUGCUGUGGGUGGAAUGUGUGGUGUAGCGGUGAAAUGCUUAGAGAUCACACAGAAUAUCGAUUGCGAAGGCAGCUCACAAAGCCAAGAUUGACGCUGAGGCACGAAAGUGUGGGGAUCAAACAGGA
This 254-nucleotide ribosomal RNA is filed under the name uncultured prokaryote. Its description in RNAcentral is "partial 16S ribosomal RNA". It matches the Rfam family "Bacterial small subunit ribosomal RNA", at positions 524 to 777 of the family's 1533-position model. The record is from RNAcentral.